GAAGCUGGCUAGACAGUCGCCGUCCACGUAAGUGGAGGGAGGAAAGUCCGGGCUGCAAAGAGCGGGAUGACGGUUAACGGCCGUCCGCCGAAAGCUGCAAAGUAUAAGGCGAGGAAUAGGGCCACAGAGACGAGUAAGUUACGGUUCGCCGUAAUGGACGUGAAACGCGGUAACCUCCAUUCGCAGCAAGACCAAAUAGGCUGGCAUUGACGUGGCUCGCGUCGCCAGCGGGUAGGUUGCUCGAGCGCAUGAGUAAUCAUGCGCCUAGAUGAAUGACUGUCGUGCGUUGUAUAACGCAAACAGAACCCGGCUUAUCGGCCAGCUUCCUUU
This 330-nucleotide RNase P RNA is filed under the name Betaproteobacteria bacterium HGW-Betaproteobacteria-22. RNAcentral describes it as "RNase P RNA component class A". It matches the Rfam family "Bacterial RNase P class A". Rfam says of the family: Ribonuclease P (RNase P) is a ubiquitous endoribonuclease, found in archaea, bacteria and eukarya as well as chloroplasts and mitochondria. Lineage: Bacteria; Pseudomonadati; Pseudomonadota; Betaproteobacteria. The record is from RNAcentral.